RNAcentral lists this ribosomal RNA (443 nucleotides) under uncultured bacterium. RNAcentral describes it as "partial 16S ribosomal RNA". It matches the Rfam family "Bacterial small subunit ribosomal RNA", at positions 338 to 795 of the family's 1533-position model. The record is from RNAcentral.
CCUACGGGUGGCAGCAGUGGGGAAUAUUGGGCAAUGGGCGCAAGCCUGACCCAGCAACGCCGCGUGAAGGAAGAAGGCUUUCGGGUUGUAAACUUCUUUUCUGAGGGACGAAGAACGUGACGGUCCCUCAGGAAUAAGCCAUGGCUAACUACGUGACCGCAGCCGCGGUAAUACGGAGGUGGCAAGCGUUAUGCGGAUUUAUUGGGUGUAAAGGGCGUGGAGGCGGGAAAGCAAGUCAGAUGUGAAAACUCAGGGCUCAACCCUGAGCCUGCAUUUGAAACUGUUUGUCUUGAGUGCUGGAGAGGCAAUCGGAAUUCCGGGUGUAGCGGUGAAAUGCGUAGAUAUACGGAGGAACACCAGUGGCGAAGGCGGAUUGCUGGACAGUAACUGACGCUGAGGCGCGAAAGCGUGGGGAGCAAACAGGAUUAGAUACCCGGGUAGUC